Molecule: ribosomal RNA, 460 nt
Filed under: uncultured bacterium
Lineage: Bacteria
Description: partial 16S ribosomal RNA
Rfam family: Bacterial small subunit ribosomal RNA
Source: RNAcentral
CCUACGGGGGGCAGCAGUGAGGAAUAUUGGUCAAUGGCCGCAGGGCUGAACCAGCCAAGUCGCGUGAGGGAUGACUGCCCUACGGGUUGUAAACUUCUUUUAUAAAGGAAUAAAGUGAGGCACGUGUGCCUUUUUGUAUGUACUUUAUGAAUAAGGAUCGGCUAACUCCGUGCCAGCAGCCGCGGUAAUACGGAGGAUCCGAUCGUUAUCCGGAUUUAUUGGGUUUAAAGGGAGCGUAGAUGGGUUGUUAAGUCAGUUGUGAAAGUUUGCAGCUCAACCGUAAAAUUGCAAUUGAUACUGGCAGUCUUGAGUACAGUUGAGGUAGGCGGAAUUCGUGGUGUAGCGGUGAAAUGCUUAGAUAUCACGAAGAACUACGAUUGCGAAGGCAGCUUACUAAACUGCCACUGACAUUGAUGCUCGAAAGUGUGGGUAUCAAACAGGAUUAGAUACCCGGGUAGUC